This 492-nucleotide ribosomal RNA is filed under the name uncultured bacterium. RNAcentral's name for it is "partial 16S ribosomal RNA". It matches the Rfam family "Bacterial small subunit ribosomal RNA", at positions 29 to 507 of the family's 1533-position model. The record is from RNAcentral.
AGUGAACGCUGGCGGUAGGCCUAACACAUGCAAGUCGAACGGCAGCACAGUAAGAGCUUGCUCUUACGGGUGGCGAGUGGCGGACGGGUGAGGAAUACAUCGGAAUCUACUUUUUCGUGGGGGAUAACGUAGGGAAACUUGCGCUAAUACCGCAUACGACCUACGGGUGAAAGCAGGGGAUCUUCGGACCUUGCGCGAUUGAAUGAGCCGAUGUCGGAUUAGCUAGUUGGCGGGGUAAAGGCCCACCAAGGCGACGAUCCGUAGCUGGUCUGAGAGGAUGAUCAGCCACACUGGAACUGAGACACGGUCCAGACUCCUACGGGAGGCAGCAGUGGGGAAUAUUGGACAAUGGGCGCAAGCCUGAUCCAGCCAUACCGCGUGGGUGAAGAAGGCCUUCGGGUUGUAAAGCCCUCUUGUUGAGAAAGAAAAGCAGCAGGUUAAUACCCCGCUGUUCUGACGGUACCCAAAGAAUAAGCACCGGCUAACUUCGUG